GCCCCUGUGAUGCAAUUGGUAGACAUGGCUCGCUUAAAACGAGUUUAUUGCAGGUUCGAUUCCUGUCAGGGGUA
Molecule: transfer RNA, 74 nt
Filed under: Microcoleus sp. FACHB-1515
Lineage: Bacteria; Bacillati; Cyanobacteriota; Cyanophyceae; Oscillatoriales; Microcoleaceae
Also listed under: 1 other name
Rfam family: tRNA
About the family: Transfer RNA (tRNA) molecules are approximately 80 nucleotides in length.
Source: Rfam by way of RNAcentral